UCUAUUAUUACAUGGUAAUGAAUCUAACACCCAUAGAGUUCUGGUGUUGAUCAUGUUUUGCCCAUGGAAGAGGUUUAGUCAAUGGAUCUACAACAUUCAGAUCCGUAUGUACUUCGCAAAUGUUUAUGUCCUCCUCUUUGACCGCAUCACGGAUGGAGUUGAAGCGUCGCUUUAUGUGCCUGGUCCUCUUGUGAAACCUUGAUUCUUUGGCUAGAGCAAUGGCACCAGUGUUGUCACAGAGCAGAGUCAUUGGGUUUAGUACACUGGGCACAACUCCAAGAUCUGUCAUGAACUGCUUCAUCCUCUAGAGCAUAUUUCCAACACCCACCACCCAUCAGGGCACACCAGGGGCCUCUGGCGUGCCGAGGUGGGUGGUGGGCCCCAUGGGCCUCCCCUCUGGUGCUUCCUUGGCUCUCAAGUUGUCUUCUGGUCCCAAAAAAUCUCUAAAAAGUUUCGUGGCAUUUGGAAUUCGUUUGAUACUGAUAUUCUGUGAAGUAAAAAAAGCAAAACAAUAGCAACUGGCACUGGGCACUAUGUCAAUAGGUUAGUCCCAAAAAAUGAUAUAAAGUUGCUAUAAAAUAAAGGUAAAACAUCCAAGAAUGAUAAUAUAACAACAUGGAACAAUCAAAAAUUAUAGAUACAUUGGUGACGUAUCAACCCCGAGCGGGAGGACCAACAUCCGUCACCUGCACCGACGCUUAGCCCCUUCCUUCGACCACCUGGCAGCCUGCGCGACCAUGGUGGUCGGCGCCUCCGGCCGCCAAGUAGCCACACCAAGCCAACCACAACCUCCAUCGGCUCCCUGCAGCAUGCACAACCACCUUCGUAUCGCAUCGCAAGAAGCCGCCAAAUAUAUACAUAAAGCACAAAAGGUUUAUAUAGUAUGGAAACACUUUCCGAGACUAAUAUAUGCCUAUGAUGUUCAGCGAUCUUGUCCACGUCAGGUAAAAAAAACGAUCUUGUCCACGUACAUUUUGAAAUUUUUAACCUAACAAAAUAUAAAAUGAUAGCUAUUAUAUAAACUGAGUUUAAAAUAAUAAUAAAGUAACAUUGCACUAAAAUUUGCACUUCGAGAAUCAAAUAUGGGUUAGAGCAUCUCUAACAAAUCCCCUAUAAUUUAGAAGAGGAAACGUCCGGGAAUCCUUUGGAGGAGUAUAUUAGCUCCUUUAAAAAGGUGUGUUUUUUAUCCGAUCCCUAAUCUUAACUCCCUACUCUCUGGGGAAUGCUCGUCGGAGGUGAGUGUGGUGGCGCCUUCCACGCCCGCGCCCGUGUCCAUCGACGUCAACUCCAUGCCGGUGGCCGGUGGGUCAUCAUUCCUAGGGGCGAGGAAACACCCGUGAGAGAUGCCAGCCGACGUGCUCCCCAGCGCCCGCAACCUGUUCGCAGAUUGCCGGCGGCCGAAAUCCAGUAAUGUCGUCCUCGUAAUCGAAGUCCCAUUCAAGGGCUACCGACAGUGUCCUGGAUUAGGGGGUGCUAACCUGGUCGGCCCAUGCUCCUCGGUUGGGCCGAUGGGCCUUCAUUCGUACUCAACGAAAAGAAUACGAGGUGGGAUUCUUCAUUAAUGAGAUGGCAUUGAUGUCAUAUUUAGAUGUGAGCUAUUAUCUAUCUCACAUCUAGAUGAGAUAUAGUCAGACCCAUAUUUUAAUGGCGUAGGAGACAUGGACGAUGUCAAAACGUCGGAUUAGUCGGGACCACUGCUGCUCUAUGAUCCAGUAAUUCCAUUGGUUUAUGACUAUUAGGUGCUAAAUUCUAACAGUAUUUGGAUUUUGUGUGCAUUACAUGUGACGCAUGGAAGCUAAUUUUAAGGCCCUUGCAUUGUACUGCAUGCCAUAAUACUUUUGUCCCCUUCUAGGUCAUUCACACGAACUUCUUGGAUAAAUCUCCUCCAGGUAACCCCCGUAUACCAUAUAGUAUUACAAACUCGCACUUUAGACAGAUGAAGAAGAGACAAUUUAGGUUUCUCUGCAAGCAAGAUACUGUCUACGCAAAUUGUGGUCAAAUGCUAUCGAAGGUUGCAUCAGCUGGCACUAAUACAGGAUGUUUGGAAGUCUCUUCCAGCGGGAUCACAUCAACACGUAAUGCUCAGGGCCGGCCCUGGGGUAUGGCGGGAGGGGCGACGGCCCAGGGCCCAGGCCGGGAGGGGGUCCAUGAUGUAGGAUACAUAUUAGUAUAGCCCAGCAAGAAAUAUGUAUGAAAAAAAUUAUACUCUACAUGACAAACGAAACGAGAUGGGCCGGCCCUGCAGAUAGCUAGCUAGCGAUGGUGAAGCAUCAUCACGCCAGCCAGACGCAAGGCACGGCGCCACGGCCGCUCAUUUUUUGCUUCUGAAACAAAUCAAAGAUCUUGUCGUGUGCCUUCGUCGCUCGUCAGUUCGUCUUCGCGACUUCGUCCUCUCCACGAAAGUCGACCUGUCGCUCGGCUCGCCGCCGCUAGUCGUCGUCGCUGCGCACGCCCGCGCGGCCAUCUGGCAUCCGGCAAGGCGGAAAUACAUAUACUAAACGUGUUGCAGGAAACUUUGCCAGAUGGUUUGAUGUCAGAGCUUGAGAUUCUUCAAUUUGUUAUGGAUGUAGAUUGCUAUCCAAAUGUCUCUCUUGCCUAUCGGAUCCUCUCAACCGUGCAUGUGUCUAUAGCCUCAGCUGAAAGAAGUUUCUCUAAACUGAAACUAUUGGAAAAUUAUUUGAGGUCAACUAUGUUGCAAGAUAGAUUGAAUGACUUGGCUAUGUGCUGCAUUGAGAAGGAUAUCUUGGAUAAUGUUGGUCUUCAUUGUGCCCUUAAUGACUUUGCAUCAAGAAACGCCCGAAGAAACUUUUUUUGAAGCACCGAAGUAUUAUUGUUGGCAAUGGAGUCAGUCGAAUUUGGUUCUUAUUUAAGGUAAUCAUGUCAUGUUAGUUUCAUUUUGCUAUAUUAUUAGGACAUAGGGGCCCAUGUCCUUGAGUUCGCCUAGGGCCUCCCGAAACACAGGGCCGACCCUGAUAAUGCUGCAGAAUGUUUCAAGGAGCAUAAGAGAAAAAUGCUGCAUGGCAAGGAAGCAAUGGGUGCUCGAGGGAAGAGAUUGGUAAAGACAGCCACCUACAAACAAGAACAGGUUCACCCAAUAGUGAUAAAGAACAAUAAAUAUGCUUUGUAUACAUUCCUUUAAAAAAACAGUGGGAGAAAAAUAGAAAGUAUUGCAUA
Long non-coding RNA from Triticum aestivum (bread wheat), 3174 nucleotides. RefSeq lists it as uncharacterized. The transcript is spliced from 2 exons. The record is from RefSeq and is a predicted model, not a curated record. Lineage: Eukaryota; Viridiplantae; Streptophyta; Magnoliopsida; Poales; Poaceae.